This 450-nucleotide ribosomal RNA is filed under the name uncultured bacterium. Its description in RNAcentral is "partial 16S ribosomal RNA". It matches the Rfam family "Bacterial small subunit ribosomal RNA", at positions 29 to 523 of the family's 1533-position model. The record is from RNAcentral.
AGCGAACGCUGGCGGCAGGCUUAACACAUGCAAGUCGAGCGGGCAUCUUCGGGUGUCAGCGGCGGACGGGUGAGUAACGCGUGGGAACGUGCCUUCUGGUUCGGAAUAACUCAGGGAAACUUGAGCUAAUACCGGAUACGGCCUGUUGGGGAAAGGUUUACUGCCGGAAGAUCGGCCCGCGUCUGAUUAGCUAGUUGGUGGGGUAACGGCCUACCAAGGCGACGAUCAGUAGCUGGUCUGAGAGGAUGAUCAGCCACACUGGGACUGAGACACGGCCCAGACUCCUACGGGAGGCAGCAGUGGGAAUGUUGGACAAUGGGGGCAACCCUGAUCCAGCCAUGCCGCGUGAGUGAUGAAGGCCUUAGGGUUGUAAAGCUCUUUUAUCCGGGACGAUAAUGACGGUACCGGAGGAAUAAGCCCCGGCUAACUUCGUGCCAGCCGCCGCGGUAA